CAGAAAUAGACAUUGCUGUUUUUGACCCCGUCACCGGUACUCGGUAUUCUGUUAAAGGAAUCCAGCCACACGAGAUGCCUGUCAUAGGUAAUAGUCAGUUCUGUGUUGUUAUAGUCUGUUUAAGAAAAUUAUUCUAAAGGUAACAAAGAACCUAUAAACGAAAAUAACGUCGCCUUUAUGCGUUAUGUGAAUGAGAAGACACGUCUUAAGUUUAGUCAUCUUACUUUUUUGGCCAGUUUUUUCUAGAUAUUUUUCUUAGAAUUACGUUAUAUACACAUUGUAAAUUUCUCAGAGUGAAACCAAACAAGGUAAUUGAAAACGAAGUUCCCAUUUAAAACUAAUUGUAUAACUUGAUGCUUUUUUGCUAUGCUUACAUGCUUAUUUGAUUGCAGACGAGUGAAAAUGAGAUAAGGACUCGGUGAGGAGCGCAGUUCGUCAUUGCUGAUUGUUUUAUUUUACAACUGAAUCGCAGUAACCUAAGUUACAUGCUAACAGCUUCUAUAUCGAUCCGCGCAUACUUCCCGGCUUCACCUACUUGGUGCGCCCGAACGGUUCAAAGCGUCCGCUGUUCAACGGCCAA
This 580-nucleotide unclassified non-coding RNA is filed under the name Lingula anatina. RNAcentral's name for it is "uncharacterized LOC106154000, transcript variant X1". Lineage: Eukaryota; Metazoa; Brachiopoda; Lingulata; Lingulida; Lingulidae. The record is from RNAcentral.